Molecule: ribosomal RNA, 496 nt
Filed under: uncultured bacterium
Lineage: Bacteria
Description: partial 16S ribosomal RNA
Rfam family: Bacterial small subunit ribosomal RNA
Source: RNAcentral
AUGAACGCUGGCGGCGUGCCUCAUACAUGCAAGUCGAGCGAACAGACGAGGAGCUUGCUCCUCUGACGUUAGCGGCGGACGGGUGAGUAACACGUGGAUAACCUACCUAUAAGACUGGGAUAACUUCGGGAAACCGGAGCUAAUACCGGAUAAUAUAUUGAACCGCAUGGUUCAAUAGUGAAAGACGGUUUUGCUGUCACUUAUAGAUGGAUCCGCGCCGCAUUAGCUAGUUGGUAAGGUAACGGCUUACCAAGGCAACGAUGCGUAGCCGACCUGAGAGGGUGAUCGGCCACACUGGAACUGAGACACGGUCCAGACUCCUACGGGAGGCAGCAGUAGGGAAUCUUCCGCAAUGGGCGAAGGCUUGACGGAGCAACGCCGCGUGAGUGAUGAAGGUCUUCGGAUCGUAAAACUCUGUUAUUAGGGAAGAACAAAUGUGUAAGUAACUAUGCACGUCUUGACGGUACCUAAUCAGAAAGCCACGGCUAACUACGUG